GAUCCCAUCAGAACUCCGAAGUAAAGAGUGCUUUGGCGAGAGUAUUACUAGGAUGGGUGACCUUUUGGAAAGUCCUCGUGUUGCACCGA
RNAcentral lists this ribosomal RNA (89 nucleotides) under Colocasia esculenta (taro). Lineage: Eukaryota; Viridiplantae; Streptophyta; Magnoliopsida; Alismatales; Araceae. The record is from RNAcentral.